GAGAGGAGUUCCUCCCUUAGUACUAAGGAGGACCUACAAGGUAAAGUGAAAAAGGUUGAGUCUUAGAUUUUAACUUAGAUGUGGAUAUUCUGCCAAAGUCCCACUUUGGUACUGAGGAUGGAAAUUUGGGGAUUAGUCAAGUUUCUCAGCCUCAGAACUGAUGAGAAGGCCUUUUGAAAAUCUGCAAAGUUCUUAAAAGGGUACCUGCACCUUACUAGAAGAUGGGAAGCAAGAUUAAAAAGCAACAACAUUUGUCCUUAAUGCAGCCAGCAUGGGCACUGUGAUUCCACUAAGAACUGCAAAAAACAAAGCUGCAAGUAUCAUGCCAAAGACAGAACUGGGCUAAAAGGUCUUUUUUAUACCAACAUUUCCAGUCUCCAGCAGCAGAUUUCAGCUAUUAUCUUAAAUCGAAUGUAAACGUUGUUAUUUAGAAGUAUACAUCAGUGUCAUAAAUAAAAAAGUAGCUGGAUGAAUUUAAGUGCUCAGAAUGGUGUUAUCUGGGCUACUCAAAGUAUUCCGAGUAAAGGUAUUUUCCAUCUC
This is a long non-coding RNA of Cygnus atratus (black swan), 540 nucleotides long. RefSeq lists it as uncharacterized. The transcript has 3 exons. Lineage: Eukaryota; Metazoa; Chordata; Aves; Anseriformes; Anatidae. The record is from RefSeq and is a predicted model, not a curated record.